This 958-nucleotide ribosomal RNA is filed under the name Dothideaceae sp. RNAcentral's name for it is "SSU rRNA". It matches the Rfam family "Eukaryotic small subunit ribosomal RNA", at positions 82 to 1045 of the family's 1831-position model. Lineage: Eukaryota; Fungi; Ascomycota; Dothideomycetes; Dothideales; Dothideaceae. The record is from RNAcentral.
GUGAACUGCGAAUGGCUCAUUAAAUCAGUUAUCGUUUAUUUCGAUAUUCCUUUACUACUUGGAUAACCGUGGUAAUUCUAGAGCUAAUACAUGCUAAAAACCUCGACUUCGGAAGGGGGUGUAUUUAUUAGAUAAAAAAACCAGCGCCCUUCGGGGCUCCUUGGUGAUUCAUAAUAACUAAACGAAUCGCAUGGCCUUGCGCCGGCGAUGGUUCAUUCAAAUUUCUGCCCUAUCAACUUUCGAUGGUAGGAUAGUGGCCUACCAUGGUAUCAACGGGUAACGGGGAAUUAGGGUUCUAUUCCGGAGAGGGAGCCUGAGAAACGGCUACCACAUCCAAGGAAGGCAGCAGGCGCGCAAAUUACCCAAUCCCGACACGGGGAGGUAGUGACAAUAAAUACUGAUACAGGGCUCUUUUGGGUCUUGUAAUUGGAAUGAGUACAAUUUAAAUCCCUUAACGAGGAACAAUUGGAGGGCAAGUCUGGUGCCAGCAGCCGCGGUAAUUCCAGCUCCAAUAGCGUAUAUUAAAGUUGUUGCAGUUAAAAAGCUCGUAGUUGAACCUUGGGCCUGGCUGGCCGGUCCGCCUCACCGCGUGUACUGGUCCGGCCGGGCCUUUCCUUCUGGGGAGCCGCAUGCCCUUCACUGGGCGUGUUGGGGAACCAGGACUUUUACUUUGAAAAAAUUAGAGUGUUCAAAGCAGGCCUUUGCUCGAAUACAUUAGCAUGGAAUAAUAGAAUAGGACGUGCGGUUCUAUUUUGUUGGUUUCUAGGACCGCCGUAAUGAUUAAUAGGGAUAGUCGGGGGCAUCAGUAUUCAAUUGUCAGAGGUGAAAUUCUUGGAUUUAUUGAAGACUAACUACUGCGAAAGCAUUUGCCAAGGAUGUUUUCAUUAAUCAGUGAACGAAAGUUAGGGGAUCGAAGACGAUCAGAUACCGUCGUAGUCUUAACCAUAAACUAUGCCGA